The sequence is a transfer RNA, 97 nucleotides long. It matches the Rfam family "tRNA". From Rfam's summary of the family: Transfer RNA (tRNA) molecules are approximately 80 nucleotides in length. Their secondary structure includes four short double-helical elements and three loops (D, anti-codon, and T loops). The record is from Rfam.
GUUACAGUGGCCGAGUGGUUAAGGCGAUGCCCUGCUAUUUCGUGUAGCUGUUAGGCAUUGGGUUUUACCUUCGCAGGUUCGAAUCCUGUCUGUAACG